Molecule: long non-coding RNA, 3905 nt
Filed under: Homo sapiens (human)
Lineage: Eukaryota; Metazoa; Chordata; Mammalia; Primates; Hominidae
Description: HSALNT0027580
Source: RNAcentral
GUAGAAUGACCAGAUUAAAUCAGUGCACUUCUUUAAGCGGUGUCCAGGCCUCAAAGAUACAGCGUCAUCUUGCAGGCUAGUCAAGGUUUCAGGAGAAUCAAGUCCAUGGACUUAUUCACUUAUCUCCAAGCAGAGACAACUAGACAGAGGGAUAGAUGAUUGAGAAUGAAGAAAAGAAGAAGACAAAAAUGAAGACAAAGAAGGAGAAGGAGGAGAAAGAGGAACGGAGACGGAGAGAAAGAGAGACUGAUCUGGACUCAUAUCGCCUGGAUCUUGAACCCUGACUUUUUGCUGUUAUUGUUGUUCUAUAUGACAUUGAUCAUAUUAGUAAAUUUCCUGUGCUUCCAUUUCCUCAUCUGUAAUGUGAGAAUAAAAAUAGUAAUGCUGCUUUUGGAUUCUUGGGAAUAUUAAAUACCCAAGAAAAAUAUUUUUAAUAUUUUUAUUACAAGAUGAAGCCCAAACUCUUUUUCUGGCAUCCAAUAUCCUCAUUAUUUUUGUGCCCAGUUAUUUUCUCACUCCUAUAUUCUUAUUUUUCCCCAUUCUUUUAUUCCUUCCACAUUCCAAUCAAAUGAAUAUCAUGGGACUGACUACAGGUUGUCACAAUGAUCUCUUCCUCUGUCUUAAACCAAAACUUAUUUCAACCUCACCUUCCCAUCGCAGGUGAUGCUAAAUCACCAGUUGCUGGGACUAAGAACCUGAAUCAUUCAGGAUCCUUCUCUUGUGUUUUCCCUCAUAUCCCAGGCAUGGUCUAUAGAUUCUAAUUCUGAAAAAGAGCUGAAUUUUCCUCCUCUCUCCAUCCCACCUAGAAUAACCUUCCACCAUCUCUUAUCUGGGUUACUGUAACAGCCUCUUCAGUGGGCUCCCUGCCUCCAGCCUUUUUUUUUUUUUUUUUUUUUGAGACAGAGUCUUGCUCUUGUUGCCCAGGCUGGAGUGCAGUGGCGUGAUCUUGGCUCACUGCAACGUGUGCCUCCUGGGUUCAAGCGAUUUUCCUGCCUCAGCCUCCUGAGUAGCUGGGAUUACACCACCAUGCCCAGCUAAUUUUUGUAUUUUUAGUAGAGAUGCGGUUUCCAUCAUGUUGGCCAGGCUGGUCUCAAACUCCUGACCUUAGGUGAUCCACCUGCCUCGGCCUCCCAAAGUUUAGCUGCACAUACCUGGCAGAGUUGGUGAUCUAAAAGCACAAAUCACAUCCUGCUUUUUCCCUUCUCAAAGCUUCCAACAGCUUGUCACUGUGCCUAGAACAAAAUUCAAACUCUUUAUCAUGCUUUACAUGAUCCGGCAUUUGCCUACCUUUCCAAUGCCAUCUGUGAUUAAUUUUCCUAUUGCUCGCUCUCCUGAGGACAAACUUGUUUUCUCUCUGAUCCUUGAGCAAAGCAGGCUUGAUACAGCCUUUGCCCUUCCUACUUUAUUGUCUGGAAACCUCUCCUAUUUGCUGUUUUCUUGACAGCCUCUUUCUCAUGAUUCAAAUCUCUGUCCAAAUGCCAUCUUCUGCAAAAGACCCUACCUGGCUAGUCUAUAAAGCACCCCUUUCACCACCUUCAUUCAUUCAUUGUCAUAUAAUGCUUUUUGUUUUCUUCGUAAAUCUACAUAGCUUUUUCUAUUCUGAGAUUAUCUUAUCUGUUUACAUCUUCAGCCUGUCUUCCCUCCCCAGGAUAUGACAAUGAAGCUGCGUACCUUCUCUGACUUGGUUAUCAUUUCAUGCCUAGGAGUCAAUAGAUAUUUAAUAAAUAUAUUUUGGAUGAAUUCAUUCAUUCCCUCAUUCAUUUAUUCAUUCAUUCUGAGCCUUUGAAGGGUCAUGCUGAUUCUUUUCUUCGACCUUAGUCUUUUCUUCUCUUUGUGAGAUGAUAAACUCAUAAAUCUCCUUCCAAAACUCAACUCAAGCAUUAAUCUCUACAUCCUUUCACAGCACUCCAACUCCCUGGUGAUUUCACAGAGCCCUGAGCUUAUGACUGCCACUAUGCUUCUGUGUAAUUGCAGUUAUAUGUCUCCGCCCCUCCAACUAUGAGUUCUUCCAAUGUAAGAGCCACAUCUCUUGUCUCUGAAUUCCCAUUGCUCACUGGAGAACCUGGCAUCUAGCUAGGCAGAAAAGCAAAACGAUUUGUGUCAGGUAACUUAGGUUAAAUCUAUGACUUUGCUAAUUGAUUGCCUUUGAAGGCAAUUCAUAACAUUUCUGAUUAUUUAUUUCCUUACCUGUUAAAUGGACCUUUUCAGCAUAAUUUUCUUUUGGAAUUGUUUUUGUUUUUAUAAGCAUGUAGGUACAUGUUCUUCCACUUUUGCACAAAUGGAAAUAUAUUAUGCGUAUUAGCUCUCUCCCUGCUACUUUCACUUAACAAUUUGUUUUAAUUUCAUCCUGAGAUCUUUCCACAUCUGUUGGAUCAUUCAUUUUGAUGGUUGCAUAUUAUUAUAUAAUAUAGAUUAUCAUAAUUAUUAACUGGCUCCCUAUUGAUUGGCAUUUAUUUUCAAUCUUCUAUGAUUCCAAAACAAAAAUGUUGUAAUUAAUAGCCUUGAAUGUGUAUGUGAUCAAUGGCAAAUCUACUAGUAAGAUAACACUUCAGAAGUGGAAUUACUGAAUCAAAAGGUAUAUCCAUUUGUGAUAUAAGUUGCCAAAUUAUUCUUAAUAGAAUUAUACUAUUUAAACUCCUACCAAAAAUUAAUAAGAGUACAAGUUGUUGUACAUACUCACUAUCAUAAUAGGUUAUCAAAUAUUUUGACCUUUGCCGUUCUGACAGGUAGGAAAUGUUGAGUUGUAAUUUCUAUUUUUGUUUCUCUUCCCAUGAGUUAAGUUGAAUAUGUUUCUUGAAUAUAUUUCUAUGUGUUUAAGAAACAUUCAUAUAUAUUUUUCUUUCUUUCUUUUAUUUUUGAGACAAAGUCUCUGUCACCCAGGCUGGAGUGCAGUGGGGCAAUCUUGGCUCACUGCAACCUCCAUUUCCCAUGCUCAAGUGCUCCUCCCACCUCAGCCUCCCGAGUAGCUGGGACUACAGAUGCAUGCCACCACACCCAGCUAAUUUUUGUAUUUUUUAGUAGAGAUGGGGUUUUGCCAUGUUGGCCAGGCUGGUCUUGAACUCCUGGCCUCAAGGCAUUCUCUCAACUUGACCUCCCAAAAUGCUGGGAUUACUGGUGUGACCCAUUGCACCCGGCCCAUUCAUAUGUAUUUUUCUGUGAAUUAUUCCAUAACAUUAUUUUCUCAUUAAUCUAUUCCAUUGUUAGUCUUUUCUAUUCAAUAUGUAGAAGCUCUUUAUAUAUAAUAUUAACACUUUGUCUAUAUUGUCUAUGCAGAUAUUUGUCCUAGUUUUUUGUUUGUUCGUAUAGUAAAAUUUAUGACUUGUGAAUUUAAACUUGUAAAGGCCUUCUCAUUCUAGCAUUUAUUUUUAAUUCUCUAAUGUUCUUCAAGUAUACAGUUUCACUUUUUAUGUCUAAGUCUUGAAUUCAGGUUCAUCUAUAACUUAUUUCACUGUAACUUGUGAGAGAGCUAUCUGUAUUACUGUUUGCACAUGGUUAGUCAGUUGUUCCUACACUAUUUAUGGAAUAAUUGUGUUCAGUAAUCAUAAUUCUCAAGUUUAUUGUAGUCUUAAUUCUACAGUUAAAUGGGUUCAGCUAUCUCUAUCAUUUGCUAUAGUUUCUUCUCCCACUGUUCUCAGAAUUGUUUUGAAGGUAAAAGGUAAUAUGAAUUAGCCUAACAGGGGCUAGGCGCUCAACGAAUUUUAACUCGAUUGCUAUUGAGAGUCUUGUUAAAUUAUUUUGUUUGUUUCAAUAUACAAGUCACUCUAUUUAGUUAAUAAAUAUUAUAAUAACCCAAAGGAAUAACUGUCACAGCAUUUAUUGGGCAACUAUUUAAAUAUACAAGCUUUGGAAGAUUUAUCUAAGCAAUUAUUUAUGCUGGCAUGUGUAGGAUCCUGAAAUGAACGGGA